UUCGUCUGCAGUUUAUGAGGAUGAGCACCUCCGCAGGAGGUUCGAGCCUCGCGAAGCGAGACAACGUUGCUUUAGCAACGGCCCGGGCGCGCAUCAACGAUGCGCGUAAUCCUCUCUCGCCGACCA
Molecule: small RNA, 126 nt
Filed under: Serratia marcescens
Lineage: Bacteria; Pseudomonadati; Pseudomonadota; Gammaproteobacteria; Enterobacterales; Yersiniaceae
Description: RtT sRNA
Rfam family: RtT RNA
About the family: This family represents a bacterial cis-regulatory element known as RtT RNA. The exact function of RtT is unknown although it is thought that it may be involved in changing the cellular response in relation to amino acid starvation.
Source: RNAcentral